GGGCCGACCCUCCGCUACUUUGGGCUCCGGGAGUUUGUCUCCAGCGACUGCGGAGGUGCAGCAGCCUCAAUUCUAAGCACAGGUUGAAAACUACAGAUACAAGCCAUUGAAACUGGGAUCCUCUGAUGGUUGGUUAACUUGUAGCAGCCAUGUGUUUGUGCACUGCCACAGGAGUUCUGUCCUCUAGCAAGGAGGAGGACAGUGCCUGCGGUGACAGGGCAGUGUAGCAAAUGCUCAUGUUCAUCUUUUCAUUUAAUUCUCACAACUCUGAGGUAGAUAUUCUCUUGUUUUACAGAUGAAGGAACGGGUUAGGUGAGUAGCUCUGAACAAAAAACCUCGUGUGUAACUUUGGCAAUGUGAGUUCUGGAAGGUCACUUACCUCUUGAUAUUUGGUGUACUGGUGUAACAGUAAAAGAUCAGGAGGGAAGGACCACAAUAGGGCUGUUAGGAAUACAAACUCUUCAUGGUAUCUAAUUGCCUUGAACCUAGAGAAGUUUCCCGAAAUUUGGCACAAAGGGAGCACCUGUGAGUGUGUUAGGUGUUUUUGAUGUGUGUAGCAUAAUGAGGUACAAAAAAGGAUACAAAAAGCACAGUGGUGCUGGAUUGUUGGAGUAUAGUAUUGGAAGUGAUGGAGAAGAUUUUCACACGGGAAGUAAUGUAACAGUCUAGCAAGGUGUGCGCAGAGCCCAAUAAAGGCUAGAACAAGUCCAUUCCUGUUAAGUAGUCUGCAUGUCUAGCAGUUGAUUUUGAUAUUAGCCUGUUUGUCAGUUACAGAUAACUCAUUUUCUAGAAGUUUUAAAUAAAAGUAUUUAAUAUUCA
This is a long non-coding RNA of Galeopterus variegatus (Sunda flying lemur), 819 nucleotides long. RefSeq lists it as uncharacterized. Lineage: Eukaryota; Metazoa; Chordata; Mammalia; Dermoptera; Cynocephalidae. The transcript has 2 exons. The record is from RefSeq and is a predicted model, not a curated record.